RNAcentral lists this long non-coding RNA (912 nucleotides) under Malus domestica (apple). Its description in RNAcentral is "long non-coding RNA (MDOM_LNC013524)". The record is from RNAcentral. Lineage: Eukaryota; Viridiplantae; Streptophyta; Magnoliopsida; Rosales; Rosaceae.
AGUAUUCCAAAAAGCUAUUACAUCAAAUGAGUGGCUUUGUGGGCAUACUUCCAACAGUGGAGACAAUUUGCCAAUUCAUCCUCAGUUAGGGACAAGGAUGCUAGAACUCAUGCCUAUUUCAUUCAAAGCAUGUUAUUGAUUUGCAUAACACAUAUUCAAGAUGAAGUUGUGUAGUGACCACCAAAGCUAAAUUUCCGUGCCCUUAUUUCUUUAUGUGUUUAAGUUUAACCCCGUUGAGCCUUGUUAAGCCUAUGUUCUUUGUUAAUCCACACUAUCCUUACCUGGCCUAGUUUUAGGACCAUCCAUACCCUUGUUCUUAAAGCAUAGUAAAACAUGACUUAAAAUGAACUCUUUUUUUUUUUAUCAAUGUAUUGCAGAAAGCAAGUGUGGGGGAAGUGAUUCUUGUGUGUGUGUGUGUGCCAAAGUCCUUAAUAAGGCACGGGUAGAAAAAAAAAAAAGAGUGAAAAGAAAAAAAAAAGUUUGUUAAAAAAAAAAGGGUCCAAAACAUUGAAUUCAGCCCUAAGUGUUGCAUGAAUCUUCCCUUUGUAUUUAAAAGUUGAUUUCUGCAUUCUAAAGUGAAUUCUAAGUUUCAAUUUCAUUACUUUGCUCGCUAUUGCUUUAAGAAGGUUUGUUAUCCCUAUCCUUUCUUUGUUAGCCAUUACCUUUAUCCCCGUUACAACCUUUGACUUCUAUCUUGAGUGUUAUGUGUUUCAAUUUGUGGAGUUUGAAGUUGGUAUGAGCAUAUGGUGUCACUGGUUCUCGCAUCUAAGUAGUAGCAUUCCAUUCAUGAGAUCAUUACUAAACAUGCUUAAUAACUCCAGAAAAUUGCUUUCUUUGUUAUAACACAUGUGAGUCCUAGUCUUUCGUGUUUACAUUAAUCUUCUCACAUAUACUAGUGUAGGGUGUGUAGUC